RNAcentral lists this ribosomal RNA (896 nucleotides) under Semisulcospira libertina. RNAcentral describes it as "partial 16S ribosomal RNA". It matches the Rfam family "Bacterial large subunit ribosomal RNA", at positions 831 to 2570 of the family's 2925-position model. Lineage: Eukaryota; Metazoa; Mollusca; Gastropoda; Semisulcospiridae. The record is from RNAcentral.
CAUCCGCGCUAGCGAUAGCUAAUUUCCCCGGAAAGAUAUAAAAGUGUCGAGAAAAAGUUUAAUUUAUAAUAUUAAUUAUUAUAUAGGUGUUCUUUUUUAUUAAUUUUUUUGAGGAUAAGCUCAGAAAAAAGCUAAGAUAUUUUUAGCUAAAAUUACUGUGUGGGCUUAAAAUUGGCCAUCAUAAAAAGUUUGUUAUAAAAUAGUAAUCUUAGUUUAGAAAAUAAGUAUAUUUUAAUCUAAAUCCUUACGGGGGCAAGAGCUUCAAUUAAAAUUAAGUUCUAUGCCUAUGCUAGAAUGAGUAUUAAAACCUAAUUAUAAAAGAAAUAUUAAUUUAUUUUCUUCAAAAAAAAUUCUUAAAAAAAUUAAUUAAUUAGAAGGAAUUCGGCAAGUUUAGUUGCUUCGCCUGUUUAUCAAAAACAUGGCUCUUUGCUCACAUAAAUAUAAAGAGUCGAGCCUGCCCAGUGAAUUUUUAACGGCCGCGGUACUCUGACCGUGCAAAGGUAGCAUAAUCAUUUGCCUUAUAAUUGAAGGCUAGUAUGAAUGGUUUGACGAGAGCAAUACUGUCUCCUUUUUAUUUUCAAGAACUUAACUUUUAGGUGAAGAGGCCUAAAUUCUAUUGAAGGACAAGAAGACCCUGUCGAGCUUAAAAGACAUUAUAGGAGUCUAGUAUAUUUUUAGAUAAAUUUUCUAUCAAGCUUUUUAGUUGGGGCGACUAAGGAACAAAAAAAGCUUCUUUUCAAUAAUAAACAAUCAUGUUUAGAUCCGAUAAUAGCGAUCAAAGAAAUUAGUUACCGCAGGGAUAACAGCAUAAUCUCUCUUAAGAGACCUAAUCGAAAGAGGGGGUUGUGACCUCGAUGUUGGACUAGAAUAUCCUAAAGAUGCAGAAGUCUUUAAGG